Molecule: ribosomal RNA, 468 nt
Filed under: uncultured bacterium
Lineage: Bacteria
Description: partial 16S ribosomal RNA
Rfam family: Bacterial small subunit ribosomal RNA
Source: RNAcentral
GACGAACGCUGGCGGCGUGCUUAACACAUGCAAGUCGAACGGAAAGGCCCUGCUUUUGUGGGGUGCUCGAGUGGCGAACGGGUGAGUAACACGUGAGUAACCUGCCCUUGACUUUGGGAUAACUUCAGGAAACUGGGGCUAAUACCGGAUAGGAGCUCCUGCUGCAUGGUGGGGGUUGGAAAGUUUCGGCGGUUGGGGAUGGACUCGCGGCUUAUCAGCUUGUUGGUGGGGUAGUGGCUUACCAAGGCUUUGACGGGUAGCCGGCCUGAGAGGGUGACCGGCCACAUUGGGACUGAGAUACGGCCCAGACUCCUACGGGAGGCAGCAGGGGGGAAUAUUGCACAGUGGGCGGAAGCCUGAUGCAGCAACGCCGCGUGCGGAAUGACGGCCUUCGGGUUGUAAACCGCUUUCGCCUGUGACGAAGCGUGAGUGACGGUAAUGGGUAAAGAAGCACCGGCUAACUACGUG